Molecule: long non-coding RNA, 411 nt
Filed under: Phasianus colchicus (ring-necked pheasant)
Lineage: Eukaryota; Metazoa; Chordata; Aves; Galliformes; Phasianidae
Description: lncRNA (ENSPCLG00000002786.1)
Source: RNAcentral
AACCAGCAGCAAAUUGUACGAAAGUUGUCUUGAAAUAGUCCUUUCUGAUUCCUGUCCAACUCAACUUUAAACAAUAGCAUUCUUUUUCCAGCCUAAAUUCACAGCCAUUUCCAAUAGGUAUUCCUAUUGGAAAAGCAUGGUUACCAAGGUGGAUUUGCAGAAAAGGAACGGGGCAGGAGCAGAGGAGAGACACUAAGAGUUCAGCAUUACAGGAAAGAAGUUCACGGUUUUCUCACUCAUCUUGCAACUGCUUUUAUUUUGGGGUAAAUAAUGACAGACUACAAUUCUUAUGUUGUUGUGUAAGGCAUUCUGAUAUGAAGGUCUUAUGAAUGAAAGAAAAGAUGAGAAAAGUGGUAAAGAUCUUGUUGAUAGAUGCUGUCAAGCAGCAAUGAAAAUAGUGGCCAGGAGGAC